UCUGAAUGCACCUUUGGGUAUGAUAUCUCAGGCAGGCCCCAGAACAAUGUCUCAACCCUCCAGUCCCAGGUCCGCAGGCUCUCCACUACCCAAUUAGAUUAUUUUGGCUCCCUUUUCCUUCCUCCUUUUUCUUUUGUUUUGAGUCAGGGAUCACUAAAUCACCUAGGCUGGACUCAAAUUCCUGCCUCAGACUCCUAAACAGUUGUGAUUUCAGGCCUGCGCUGUCAGAUCUAACUCCACAGGCGUUUUCAAAGCACUGAGAAUUCGCGGAGCAUAGCAGACACACUCAGAAACCCGCGCUUAAGCCUUCGCGCAGGUGCGCUGGAUCUCGCCGCGCUCGUCACUACCCAGAAUCCCCGGGGCGGCAGAGACCAAUCACUCAACAGAAGGGGGGAGUCGUGGGUCGCGAGGCGGGCCUAGUGCACGGGGACUUCCUGUGAGCCUUUGCCACCCUCACCCUCCCUCGGGUGAGAAGUGGUCUAUUCCGAACCCUUAAGACGGGGGCGCACACCGGCUACUGUCUCUCUUUCUGCUGACGCCACGACGUCUGUAUUUGCACCUUGCAGCUGGGUCUGGCGCCUGGGCCUAGCAGAGCGGAGCCGGUGCGAUGCUGAGCCGGGGGCCCGGCCUUCCAGCCCCUCCUUGGGCGCCGCGCACACCUGAGGGAGCCGGACCGGGGAUGGACAGGAUGUCGAACAGAAGGCCCAGGAUCCCACCCUGAGGUAGGGAAUUUGGAGUGGAGGAUUUCUUGCAGCCCUGGCCUCCCAUGAGUCCAUUUUAGGAGUGUCCCUUCCUCAAGUUUGGAGGACCAAGUGCUAGAAUGCAGUGUUGGCAGCAGUGGAGAAGGAGGAGGCUAUCUCCAGAGGAGUGCCCAUCAACUCAAGAUUCUGACUGAAGGCCACCUCUCAUGAAAAAACUCCCAAGUGUGUCUGCCCA
Long non-coding RNA from Microtus ochrogaster (prairie vole), 936 nucleotides. RefSeq lists it as uncharacterized. Lineage: Eukaryota; Metazoa; Chordata; Mammalia; Rodentia; Cricetidae. The record is from RefSeq and is a predicted model, not a curated record.